RNAcentral lists this long non-coding RNA (349 nucleotides) under Mytilus galloprovincialis (Mediterranean mussel). The record is from RNAcentral. Lineage: Eukaryota; Metazoa; Mollusca; Bivalvia; Mytilida; Mytilidae.
GAAUUUGUUCUUUAUUUACAAUGAUAUUUAAUCUGCAUCGAACACUUAAGUUUGAGUCGGUCCAACAUUACAGAAUAAAACAGGGACGAAAGAUACCAGAGGGACAGUCAAACUCAUAAAUUGAAAAUAAACUGACAACGCCAUGGCUAAAAAUGAAAAAAAGACAAACAAACAAUAGUACACAUGACACAACAUAGAAAACUAAGGAAUAAGCAACACGAACACCACCAAAAACUAAGGGUGAUCUCAUGUGCUCCGGCAGGGUAAGAGCAGAUCCUGCUCCACAUGUGGCACCCGUCGUGUUGCUUAUGUGAUAACAAAUUCGGUAAAUAGUUUCAUUCGGUAGGUC